CCGAGUUUACAACUCCCAAACCCCUGUGAACAUACCUAUACGUUGCCUCGGCGGAUCAGCCCGCGCCCCGUAAAAAGGGACGGCCCGCCCGAGGACCCCUAAACUCUGUUUUUAGUGGAACUUCUGAGUAAAACAAACAAGUAAAUCA
This 148-nucleotide unclassified non-coding RNA is filed under the name soil metagenome. RNAcentral describes it as "partial internal transcribed spacer 1". The record is from RNAcentral.